AGGAACAUCACAGGUACAGAGACUAAAUAGACAAUGAGGGCGGGGCUAAUCGAACACAGGUGAGACGCAUUAGGAACAGGUGCAGACAAUCACAGGGGCGGGAGACACAGGAAAAGCAAAGACACCAGAAACAAGACACGGGACAGGAAGUGCAGCAACACAAGGAAAGGGACUUCAGAAUAAAACAGGAAACUGAAGAAAACACAAACACGGGGUAAUAAGGUAACUUGACCAAGGCAAAGAUACACUAGGCACACGCAGUUGGAGGGAAAAUAAGAACCCUGUCUGUCACGUCUGGCUGCUUGUCUUUUACGAUCGUCUGUCUUCAUGCCAUUGCUCGUUCACUGGUGAGCCGGUAGACAUUUCCCAUUCUGCAGGACAAUAAAGUUCAAUUCAGUUUUAUUCUGCUCUAGGACACGCAUUGCCUUAACCCCCAACCCUUACUGUAAUCCUUAUCUAAACCAAAUUCUAACCCUGACCCUAAAACCAAGUCCAAACCCUCAAACUGCCCUUUGUAAGGUGUGUCAGAAAGUGAGGACCGGCCAAAAUGUCUGGACUUAAAAUGGUCCUCACAAUGAUAUAUGUACACGCACGCACGCACGCGCACGCGCACGCACGCGCACGCACACACGCACGCACACACACACACACACACACAAGCUGAGAUAGGCCAUGGAUUAGUGUCAGUGAUUUACUGUGAUAAAUCUGCACAUACUGAGCUCACAGGUGUGCGUCCACUUACAGAGUGUGUGUGUGUGUGUGUGUGUGUGUUUGUAAUAUCAGCAGAAAAUCAGUUGAUGGCAUGGUUUAAUCUGCAUAUUCUGUAUGUUGUUGGAUAUGCGCAGAACAUAAUGCGCGAAAAGAUUCUUGGAGUCAUUUAUAUUUAAGUAGAUUAAUACACACACACACACACACACACACACACACAUAGAUGCUACUACUGGCUCGUCAAUGCAGGUAUUUCUCCGAGAUGUUUAUGCAACGUAUUGAACGUUAGAUGAUGCUAAUUGGGACGAUCGCAGCAGUUGGUCGAUGGGAAACAGGAAACAGGCUUUAUCGCCCCAGUGGUCCAGAGAUCCUUUGAAGUGAGAUGUGAAGCAUCACAUCUUUCUUUCCUCUCUAAAUCUCUCCCUCCCUCUCUCAGUGAGGUAGAGGUGGGUGGAGAGAAAAGGAAAAGGAAAAAGAAUCAGUGGGAAUCAACUCAGUGUAAUCAGUACGUGUGGCUCUUCCCUCCCACACACACACACACACACACACACACACACACUGAGCUCAGUAAGAAGGCUUAGUCAGGCAGGGAGCUCAUGAAAGACGAUAGACCUCCAAUCUUUUGAAGAAGCUUCCAGACCUUCAGUGUUAUAUAAUUACGUUCGUACUGUAGAAUGAGACUCUCUGUCUCUUACCCCGUAACUUUUCCAUGUGAAUAUGGGACUUUUUAAAACAAAAUGCAUAAAAAAAACAAUGGUUCCUAAAUAAAGGGAAUAACAAAGUUGCCAAAAUUGAUUCCAGGUUGCUGCUCUACCAUUUUAUACAAAUAAAAAUCCCCAGUCAAAUGAGCUGAAUUUGUUUGUGCCCACACGGUGCACUCUCGCAACACUGAAACAACGUUAAUCAUCCAAGGAAAUUAACUUUUUAAGCCCAUCAGAAAAAUAAUCCCAUCUUCUCUUUCCCACAAAUGGUCAGUUUCCCCCAGUCUAUCAUUUGUGUUAAGUAUUUAUGGGAACACGCACAUUAGGGACUGUUAUCUCCCUGGCAUUGUCUGAUGUGGUAGAGGUGAGAAUUGGCCUGGAGGCGGCACAGAGUGAUUAAAGAUUCACAGGCGAUGGUGGAGCCAAUUUGCUGCGGUGCCUGGGGACCGUGCCUCUUUCAUGGCCGCUGCCGCGGGGACCGCACCAGGCCUGCUGAGUGGGAUGACACGUAAGAGGCCUCUGGAGAUGCCAAAGAUGAAGGGUUAAAGAGGUCACGUGCCCUUUAUCGACAUAUCGUGACUAAGGUUUGAAGGAGGAUGGACAGGAGCUUAUAGUCACAAGGAGGAGACGUUGUGUUUUUGUCUUGUUCCAUACUCGGAUCAUUUGGAUGAAACUGGGUCUUGGAUUGAGAAAUGAUGAAACUUGUGGAGAUGCGCAACAAAGCUUGUUAGGCCUGUACAUUUUGUCGCAACAUACAUUGUCCCAGAAACUAUUUGCGACAAACAAUAUGAUCGUCAUUUUAAGACUUUUUUUUUUUAAUCUGAAUCAUGUCGGUUUGCCGUAGAGGACUUUUGGUCGUUGCGGGUGCGAGUCCUACACGAUUUGUGUCGCUGCUGACAGAAAUGUUAUCCUCAGUUUAGACUUGCGUUCGGGCCUCAGACAAAAACAAGCAAUUUGAAGACACGGUGCCUUUAGAAAAAUACAAAGAAACCCCUGUGUUCUGACAUUUUAUAGACCACACCAGUAAUUAAUGGAUCAUGCGACGAGAACAGAUGAGAGGCAGAAGCAGCGAGACCCUGCUGGACUGUUGUUGACAUUUAUUCUUAUGUCAACAAACACGCAUGGAGACGCAAUGGCUGCUAUUGAGAUUUCCACACGGAGAAAAGCAAAAGUCGGUGCCUCGGCCUCACAUCGGUUAUGAAAUCAUUCUGCACUGCAGAGCAUCUCUCCUGCUGUGCUGCAGUGAGCCGGACACCGGAGCUGGGAGUGUCGAAGAGGAGGUGCUCAAACAUCUUGUGUUUUGUGGUUCAGUCACUGUGGCACUGUGAUGCAGCUUUAAAAGAAAAGAAAGAAAAAGAAUUUCUAAAUGUAAAGUAAGGUAAAAUACCCAAAUGGAAAAGCUCAUCAAAAGGCCAAAUCUUUACAAAAAGCGUUAUCGUUUAAAGUCGAAAUUGCGAAUGUGCGCACAUACAUUGGCAUUAGGGAAGUCGUACUUCAUUCGUUCUUCCCAUUAUCUCAUAUCACUCUCCUAAAUCUUCUUCUACCUCCUGUAAUAAAUGCUUAUCUGGAAGAAAAAGAAAAACUCUCCUACCUCCCCUGUAAGUUCUCAUUGCGCCUUUCUUUGUCUCACACUUCCUUCUCACUGUAAUUUUUCUGGGCUCAAAGUGAUAUUUUUACACAUUAAAUCAGAUGGCUUUAAUCAGUUCUUAGCCAAAUCCCUUCUAUCUCUUUCCUUAAUUCUGAUACCAUUCUGUUCCUGACUAUUUCCUCUCUGACAUGAACUUGCUCCUGGGUCACGGCAAUAUUUGGCUUUAAACCUUUAAAUACAUUUAGUUGGUUGUCGGGUUGGAGAACCUAGAAGAUUUGAAUCUUGAUGAUCAUGAUCGUCUCAUAAGAACCGAGUUAUCCAGCUCUGUAACUACACCAGACCUUCACUCUGCUUGAAAGUUGUCAUCACCACGUCACUGAGGCUACAGGAGAAGUGCAGUGUCUCAGUGAAAGGUCAUGACCUUUAGGCCGCAGGCUCUCGUUCCCGUCUCUCCCUUCACUUCCCUCAGUGUAAGAACAAAUCAUUUAGAUGUCACCAUGUCAUUUUAAUUGUGUGGAUUUGCUGAACACGUCUGUCCUUUACCAUUUAAGGGGGGGGGAGAAUCCUUUUUAUUUCUCUGCACAGACAGUGGAAUAGCUGUGAGGGAAAUGUGCGGGAAUGAUGGACAAGGAAAAAAUCUGAUCUGGCAGGAUUCAAGCUUUGGCCCCAGAAAAGCGAGAGUGUGAUUAGCCAACUCACCCAAGCUGUGCCAAUCAUGCCCACCGCCAGAACCACGCUCACCUCCACGAACAGAGUUCUCAGUGUUGAUGGAGAAAUCGUUGGUGGGAGACGCAUUCCACGGGAGGAAAAGCAUCUCGACCUCAUCCAGAUUGAGCUUCAGGUGGUGCGUCGACAUCCUCUGAGAAAUGUCGGCCAGACAUGCAGAGAUUCGUGCUGCCACCUGGGUUUCAGAUUGGGGCUAAGGACCACCAUCUGCUAACAUGGAGGAUGCGGGGUUUGUGAACUACACUGCAGCCAGCCACCAGGGGGCAGUCAAGGUGUUUUGGCUUUACUUUUAGGAAGCCAAAAACAACAUCACAUUUAUCUAUGUGUCUGACACAUACAGCACUUGUUCUUGAUUGACCUGCUCUAUGGAUUCUUUUGCUGCACGUUUAUACAUUGUUGGACUCAUGAUGAACAUAUUAAAAAAGGAUCAAAAUGAGAUAUGUUAUCUCUUUCAUACCUUGCAUUCUUUGCCCUUGUCGAAAUUUGAAGGGCUACAUUGCCCAGAAUGCAAC
Long non-coding RNA from Scophthalmus maximus (turbot), 4235 nucleotides. RefSeq lists it as uncharacterized. The record is from RefSeq and is a predicted model, not a curated record. The transcript is spliced from 6 exons. Lineage: Eukaryota; Metazoa; Chordata; Actinopteri; Pleuronectiformes; Scophthalmidae.